RNAcentral lists this ribosomal RNA (485 nucleotides) under Sphaerodoropsis cf. philippi MC-2015. RNAcentral describes it as "partial 16S ribosomal RNA". The stretch from base 350 to 485 matches the Rfam family "Bacterial large subunit ribosomal RNA", at positions 2473 to 2609 of the family's 2925-position model. The record is from RNAcentral. Lineage: Eukaryota; Metazoa; Annelida; Polychaeta; Phyllodocida; Sphaerodoridae.
UAAGAUAAUAUUUAAGAUAUACCCUGCUCAAUGAUAUUAUUAAAUAGCUGCAGUAUAUUGACUGUACAAAGGUAGCAUAAUAGAUUGUUUUUUAAUUGAAGGCUAGAAUGAAUGGGUGAACGAAAUUAAAACUGUUUCUAAUGUAUAAAUAUAAAUUAAUAUAUUAGUGAAGAAGCUAUUAUUUUAUAAUAAGACAGAAAGACCCUUUAAGCUAUAUAUUAGUAUUAAUAUUAUUAUAAUAAUAUUUAAUUUUAAUUGGGGUGGUUAAGGAAUAUAUUUUACUUCCUUUAUUAAUAUGAUAAUUAAUCUAUAAAUGAUCUUUUAAUAGUAUAAGAUUAGUUACUAAAGGGAUAACAGAUUAAUUUUUUUGGAAAGUUCAUAUUGAUAAAAAAGAUUAAUACCUCGAUGUUGGCUUAAAAUUACCUUUAGAUGAAGAAGUUUAUUAGGUUGGUUUGUUCAACCAUUAAAAUUUUACGUGAUCUGAG